This 463-nucleotide ribosomal RNA is filed under the name Vreelandella stevensii. RNAcentral describes it as "partial 16S ribosomal RNA". It matches the Rfam family "Bacterial small subunit ribosomal RNA", at positions 338 to 794 of the family's 1533-position model. The record is from RNAcentral. Lineage: Bacteria; Pseudomonadati; Pseudomonadota; Gammaproteobacteria; Oceanospirillales; Halomonadaceae.
CCUACGGGUGGCUGCAGUGGGGAAUAUUGGACAAUGGGCGAAAGCCUGAUCCAGCCAUGCCGCGUGUGUGAAGAAGGCCUUCGGGUUGUAAAGCACUUUCAGUGGGGAAGAAAGCCUUGGGGCUAAUACCCUCGAGGAAGGACAUCACCCACAGAAGAAGCACCGGCUAACUCCGUGCCAGCAGCCGCGGUAAUACGGAGGGUGCGAGCGUUAAUCGGAAUUACUGGGCGUAAAGCGCGCGUAGGCGGUCUGAUAAGCCGGUUGUGAAAGCCCCGGGCUCAACCUGGGAACGGCAUCCGGAACUGUCAGGCUAGAGUGCAGGAGAGGAAGGUAGAAUUCCCGGUGUAGCGGUGAAAUGCGUAGAGAUCGGGAGGAAUACCAGUGGCGAAGGCGGCCUUCUGGACUGACACUGACGCUGAGGUGCGAAAGCGUGGGUAGCAAACAGGAUUAGAUACCCCAGUGC